RNAcentral lists this ribosomal RNA (484 nucleotides) under uncultured bacterium. RNAcentral describes it as "partial 16S ribosomal RNA". It matches the Rfam family "Bacterial small subunit ribosomal RNA", at positions 29 to 507 of the family's 1533-position model. The record is from RNAcentral.
AUUGAACGCUGGCGGAAUGCUUUACACAUGCAAGUCGAGCGGCAGCGCGGCCUUCGGGCUGGCGGCGAGCGGCGAACGGGUGAGUAAUGCAUCGGAACAUGCCCAGUCGUGGGGGAUAACACUUCGAAAGGAGUGCUAAUACCGCAUACGUCCUGAGGGGGAAAGCGGGGGAUCGCAAGACCUCGCGCGAUUGGAGUGGCCGAUGUCAGAUUAGCUAGUUGGUGGGGUAAAGGCCUACCAAGGCGACGAUCUGUAGCUGGUCUGAGAGGAUGAUCAGCCACACUGGGACUGAGACACGGCCCAGACUCCUACGGGAGGCAGCAGUGGGGAAUUUUGGACAAUGGGGGCAACCCUGAUCCAGCCAUUCCGCGUGAGUGAAGAAGGCCCUCGGGUUGUAAAGCUCUUUCGGCAGGAACGAAACGGUGGGCUCUAACAUAGUCCGCUAAUGACGGUACCUGAAGAAGAAGCACCGGCUAACUACGUG